RNAcentral lists this ribosomal RNA (482 nucleotides) under uncultured bacterium. Its description in RNAcentral is "partial 16S ribosomal RNA". It matches the Rfam family "Bacterial small subunit ribosomal RNA", at positions 28 to 506 of the family's 1533-position model. The record is from RNAcentral.
GACGAACGCUGGCGGCGUGCUUAACACAUGCAAGUCGAACGCUGAAGCUCAGCUUUUGUUGGGUGGAUGAGUGGCGAACGGGUGAGUAACACGUGAGUAACCUGCCCCCUUCUUUGGGAUAACGCCCGGAAACGGGUGCUAAUACUGGAUAUUCACUGGUCUUCGCAUGGGGGUUGGUGGAAAGGGUUUUUCUGGUGGGGGAUGGGCUCGCGGCCUAUCAGCUUGUUGGUGGGGUGAUGGCCUACCAAGGCUUUGACGGGUAGCCGGCCUGAGAGGGUGACCGGUAACAUUGGGACUGAGAUACGGCCCAGACUCCUACGGGAGGCAGCAGUGGGGAAUAUUGCACAAUGGGCGCAAGCCUGAUGCAGCGACGCCGCGUGAGGGAUGGAGGCCUUCGGGUUGUGAACCUCUUUCGCUCAUGGUCAAGCCGCAACAAUGGUUGUGGUGAGGGUAGUGGGUAAAGAAGCGCCGGCUAACUACGU